This 484-nucleotide ribosomal RNA is filed under the name uncultured bacterium. RNAcentral describes it as "partial 16S ribosomal RNA". It matches the Rfam family "Bacterial small subunit ribosomal RNA", at positions 30 to 507 of the family's 1533-position model. The record is from RNAcentral.
AUUGAACGCUAGCGGGAUGCUUUACACAUGCAAGUCGAACGGCAGCGCGGACUUCGGUCUGGCUGCGAGUGGCGAACGGGUGAGUAAUGUAUCGGAACGUGCCCAGUAGCGGGGGAUAACUACGCGAAAGCGUAGCUAAUACCGCAUACGCCCUACGGGGGAAAGCAGGGGAUCGUAAGACCUUGCACUCUUGGAGCGGCCGAUAUCGGAUUAGCUAGUUGGUGAGGUAACGGCUCACCAAGGCGACGAUCCGUAGCUGGUUUGAGAGGACGACCAGCCACACUGGGACUGGGACACGGCCCAGACUCCUACGGGAGGCAGCAGUGGGGAAUUUUGGACAAUGGGGGCAACCCUGAUCCAGCCAUCCCGCGUGUGCGAUGAAGGCCUUCGGGUUGUAAAGCACUUUUGGCAGGAAAGAAACGUCGCGGGCUAAUACCCCGUGGAACUGACGGUACCUGCAGAAUAAGCACCGGCUAACUACGUG